This 497-nucleotide ribosomal RNA is filed under the name uncultured bacterium. Its description in RNAcentral is "partial 16S ribosomal RNA". It matches the Rfam family "Bacterial small subunit ribosomal RNA", at positions 28 to 507 of the family's 1533-position model. The record is from RNAcentral.
GAUGAACGCUGGCGGCGUGCCUAAUACAUGCAAGUCGAGCGAACAGACGAGGAGCUUGCUCCUCUGACGUUAGCGGCGGACGGGUGAGUAACACGUGGAUAACCCACCUAUAAGACUGGGAUAACUUCGGGAAACCGGAGCUAAUACCGGAUAAUAUAUUGCACCGCAUGGUUCAAUAGUGAAAGACGGCUUUGCUGUCACUUAUAGAUGGAUCCGCGCCGCAUUAGCUAGUUGGUAAGGUAACGGCGUACCAAGGCAACGAUGCGUAGCCGACCUGAGAGGGUGAUCGGCCACACUGAAACUGAGACACGGUCCAGACUCCUACGGGAGGCGGCAGUAGGGAUUCUUCCGCAAUGGGCGAAAGCCUGACGGAGCAACGCCGCGUGAGUGAGGAAGGUCUUCGGGUCGUGAAACUCUGUUUUUGGGGAGGAACAAGUGUGUAAGUAACUAUGCACGUCUUGGCGGUACCUAAUCAGAAAACCACGGCUAACUACGUG